This 1449-nucleotide long non-coding RNA is filed under the name Ficedula albicollis (Collared flycatcher). RNAcentral describes it as "lncRNA (ENSFALG00000023859.1)". Lineage: Eukaryota; Metazoa; Chordata; Aves; Passeriformes; Muscicapidae. The record is from RNAcentral.
GAAAGAGAGAAAAAGAAAGCUCAGAUGCAAGUUUUCUUUUUUUUUUGCUCAUGAAAAGCAAAGCGUGGAAUACAACAAAUUAAAUAGCCACCCGGUGAGAAAAAAGGGAGUGGAGUGAAAAAUGGGCAGGGGGGGAUAAAACCCAGAUGAAAAAGGCAGGCUGGUGCUGGAGGAUGCCAGACAGGUCUGGGAAUAGAGGCAUAGCAUGGCGGUAAAAUAAUUGUACCCCUUCGGCUGAAGUCCAGCGCCGCUUUCUGCCUCGCUGCCCCAAGCCUGCCAUCCUCUGUUAGCUCCUGCAAUAUUUUAUCCGCCAGCUCCGGCUCUGUUUCACCAGCAAUGGAGAGGACUAGAUUAAUUAGGAGAGAUCUCUCUCCCACAGCCAGCCCGGCUCUGCAGGGGGAAGGCUGGGAACUAUUUAAAGGGAUGAAGAUGUACUGCAGCAGCUGCCAUCUCUCUGGCUGGUAAUGUGCUCGCUCACCUAGCUGAAAAUUCAUCUCCUUUUGCCCUCUGCCAGUAAUUCCCAGCAAAUAAAAGCUGGUGAGCCCCAGGUUGAGCUCUGAGGCCAGCUGGGCUGGGCUGGGGGUUUGGGGAGAGCAGGUGUAAGGAAGGAAAUGGGAGAGACAUGUGUUGGGAUGAAGAUUGGAACAACUGCAAAACGUUCAGAACCUGAGCAUUGCUCUCGUUUAUGACAGCACUGCCCAUCUUGGGAACGGGGCUGCAGGAGCCCCAAAAUCCCAGGUGCCCCCACAGCCAGGAUGGACCCAGCACCGCUCCCCCAUUUCCCAGCUCAUUAAGGCCCAGCCUUGCCUUCGAGUGACACAGCUCGCUAACUCCGUCUCCCUCCCUCUGCAAACAAACAUUGGAUUUAAACCUGCUCAGAAUUCAGCGCAGACGGAAAGCAGCGGCGGCAGCAGCAAGCAGCAAGCAGCGCAGCCGCUCGCCUAGCGCAGCUCCAAGAUGAACCAUCCUGCCUGCUGGAUCGUCUUCACGGCCACCACUGCCCUGCUCUUCAUCCCAGGACAACCAGCCUGGAAUGCGUGUCCCGCUGGAUUGUGGCCCUGGCAGGACGUGCAGCGCUGGGAUGCUGCUGUUCUCUGCUGCUCCAGCUCAGGCAGCGCCGCCUGCCCUUGCGAGCGCUCGCUCCAUCCCCCGGGAACUCACUCCGGCUUCGCUGCGAUUAAUCUCAUCGGCCACUGGAUGUCAAUGUUGCCUCAUCCAAUUACAAGUGGGAAAGUUGUGGAUCUUCAGGAAGGGGGAGAAAAUGCUGCUGUCAGAAUAUUGCAGGAAAACUUGGAUGUGUGUCCUAUUCCUUUUCCAAAGGGAGCUUUGUGGAGGCACAAAGGCAGCCUGUGGCUACCUUGCAGUGUGGUGACAUGGUUGAAGAGUGUCACAGAAGCUGAGUGUGCUCACAUCUUUCCUGGGAAGACUGCCUUGCAUACCCUGCUUUGA